UAUUGGGUUUCUAUGUUGGAAUUUUCUACUCUGAGGAAGAAGACAAGAGGCAGAAUUGCCGUGGUGUUGCAGAAGCACAGAGGAAAGAGAGACAAAUAGGGGUGCGCAUAAAGGAGAAGGACACGUUUUGAAGUCGGAGAAGACGACGAGGGAGACAGGUGCGCGUGCUCGGGUCACGUGCAACGUACAGGCGACAAUCCUUGCAGUGGCCUUGGGAGGAAUCCGUUGGGAAGACUCCAAAGCCGAGCCUAGCUUCUGAAAUUGAUGGAAAAGAGGAGUUUGGGAUUCAGCGAAAGAGGAGGAAAAAGGGGAUUUUGAAGAAGGAAACCAGAAAAGGAAGGUGAGAAUAGAGUGAGGAGACACGGAGAGGCUGCAUAACAGAAAGACAGAGAGAGGGUUGUGGACGGAGCAAAGGAAAGGCGAGUAAAAGGACGAAGAAAACUGAAAAGGAGGGCCGAGAGGGUCACCAAAUUUGAGCAACCUAGGGAUUUCCAAUCUGGGUCCCUUUGUCAAUUGUCCGAGAAUGCUUCUUGGUAGAAACUCAAUACAGGAAACCCUUUACGAUAUUCUAUCUGUGAAAGAGGAUGCAAGCUAUGAAGACAUUCGUGCAAGUUAUCGAUCUGCUGUCCUGAGUUCUCAUCCUGAUAAAUUAGAGAAGAAUUCCGAGGAAUCUCGUGCUGACCGCAAGUCAGAUGAUAAAUUUCUGAAAGUACAGAAGGCUUGGGAAGUUCUCAGCAACUCUAGGUCUCGAGCACUAUAUGACAGUGAGCUGCAAGCGCUAAGACAGCAUGCAAUAACUGCGGAAGACGUAAGUUUAGAGGAUAUGAUGAUUGAGGAUGGUAGAGAAUUGUUAGAAUUUUAUUACCAAUGCCGAUGUGGCGAUUACUUCAGUACUGAUUCUUUAGAGUUGGGUAAGUUGGGAUAUAAAUUAUUGAGAGAUGACGGGGAGAUAUGUUUAGCUACAGCAGAUGCUUUACCAGUAUCACUGGUUCUCCCUUGUGGUUCUUGUUCUCUUCAUAUUCGGCUAUUCAUCAAUGCGGACGUUAAGAUUACCAUUAAUGAUCACCUGUGAAUUGCUUUCCUUUUUCUUUUUCUUUUUUUUCGUUCCAAAUGUUAAUGAUAAAUUGUGGUUGAUUGA
Carica papaya (papaya) is the source of this 1138-nucleotide non-coding RNA. The record is from RefSeq and is a predicted model, not a curated record. Lineage: Eukaryota; Viridiplantae; Streptophyta; Magnoliopsida; Brassicales; Caricaceae.